RNAcentral lists this ribosomal RNA (447 nucleotides) under uncultured soil bacterium. RNAcentral's name for it is "bacterial SSU rRNA". It matches the Rfam family "Bacterial small subunit ribosomal RNA", at positions 31 to 517 of the family's 1533-position model. The record is from RNAcentral.
AGAACGGAACGCUGGCGGCAUGCCUAACACAUGCAAGUCGAACGAGGACCUUCGGGUCUAGUGGCGCACGGGUGCGUAACACGUGGGAAUCUGCCCUUGGGUUCGGAAUAACAGUUGGAAACGACUGCUAAUACCGGAUGAUGACGUAAGUCCAAAGAUUUAUCGCCCAAGGAUGAGCCCGCGUCGGAUUAGCUAGUUGGUGGGGUAAAGGCCUACCAAGGCGACGAUCCGUAGCUGGUCUGAGAGGAUGAUCAGCCACACUGGGACUGAGACACGGCCCAGACUCCACGGGAGGCAGCAGUGGGGAAUAUUGGACAAUGGGCGAAAGCCUGAUCCAGCAAUGCCGCGUGAGUGAUGAAGGCCUUAGGGUUGUAAAGCUCUUUUACCCGGGAAGAUAAUGAACUGUACCGGAGAAUAAGCCCCGGCUAACUCCGUGCCAGCAGCCCG